Molecule: long non-coding RNA, 2527 nt
Organism: Daphnia magna
Lineage: Eukaryota; Metazoa; Arthropoda; Branchiopoda; Diplostraca; Daphniidae
Exons: 2
Source: RefSeq, a predicted model, not a curated record
CUGCCAGCUUGUUGUCAGUGGCGCAGCUUCCUUUCCUUUACACUAACGUCAAGGCCUUUUUUAUUCCCGAUUUCAAACGAACAUAAAUCGUUGCCUCAUAAAAAGAAUAAAGAAAAACGAGAAAAACAAAACAAAAAACAAACAAAAACAAAACAAAAUCAUUGGAUAUUUAGCUAUUGAUUCCGGGAAAUAUUCCAACAUAGUGGAGAAUAUCGACCAAGCAAUGACCAAUGGUACGCACUAUUCAAUUUAUUCCCUCCGCAAUGCGUUCACUAAAAAAAUGUUCGAAUACCGAUAUCGUUCCAAGAAAGUUGGGCAUCGCUUUCCAGGUUAGCGUGUUUUGGAAACGGACGUAUUCUUGAGUUUCUAUUCACAUAUUAAUUUUUUUGGCUGUACCAUAUUUGAGUUUCUCCUUGGAUAUGGAAAAGGGCCCACUGCGAACGUACUUUUUGUUCUUCUUGUCUUAUUUUUUGGUUUCUAAAGCGAUCUUGAGUUCCGCAAAAUUGAUGUGUUCAUACUUUGGCUUAUGACGACUGUUGCGUCCGACCGGCGCCAGUAUCUCAUCAAAAGGUAAGCAGUCGGCUUAAGAAAGAAGAUAGAUUUUUCUCUCAACUGGCCACAUACAAUGACUGACUAUCCACAUAACAUAAAAAGCAUUUCAAGUCACGAGUUCGGCCUGAGCAUCAAUCUUCUUCCCCGUCGUCUACGCGGAGCUCUUUUUUUUUUUUUUGUUGUUGUUGUCCCAUCAUAUGUGAUGAACAGCCGGAAUUGCGGAUGAUAAUAAUUCUGGAAUGUAAAUCGUGAAAGUCACGGGCAAAGUUUAAUUCCAACAUUGCGCUAGUAAAGCAAGAUUUCCUCUGUUAUUAGUUAAUGGUCCAGUCGUAAAAAAAAACAACACGGCAAACAUUUGAAACAUAAAAAAAAGGAGAGAAAAGGCGGGAGUGCGCGUAAACAGAUAAUUUGACAACUUGUUUCGGCUGGCAACUGCUGCCAAUUUCGUACAUCGCGUGCGGAAUGUCGAUGCAGAUUUUGGCACCUCGUACGCCCUGGACCGGAGUAGCCCACAACGUAGAACCUUACAUACGCUUCAGCGGAUUCCGAAUAGUUCCCCAAAAAGCGAACAGCUCGCAACACGCGACAAACCAUAACUUGGGACAAAAAUCUGCCUUUGUUAUAGUCGAAAUUCUUGUGAAGGGGACAGUCGGGCUAACAUGAGAUGUCAAACUCUAUUUGCAUCCCAAAAAUCGCUUGGUCCUCUCGUAUUUCACAAAGCGCUCUAAUGGUGAUUUUCUAGUGUCGUUGUAGCUAUUUUGGGGGAAACAUCCGCCAGUUAAAAAUAGUACGUACCUUUUCCCCCACGUGCAUGAACAGUUGCCAACCCUGAUUGUUGUUGUUGCUACUGCGAAUUCAACUAACCGUCUUCCGCAUUCGGACAAGGUGUCACGGAGCUAAUCAAUCCCUUAAAGUUUUCUUAGCACUAGAUUCGCUUUGACGUUUCAGUUUGUUUGUUCUUUUAGGCUAGUUGAAUUCAAUCGAAAACUAUACCUUUCAGUUGAAUAAUAAAAGUACAGUCUUGCAUUAUCCUCCGUCAUUUUAAGGGACUCUAUAUAACCUUGAAGAAAAUCAUUGUCAAUUUUUACACACAUUGAAUAAUCAUAAACUAGUGUUAAUAUUUAACAUUCCAACUGAUGCAGAGCGAAUAAAUGCUGACUUGAGUGAAAGCGAUGGCGGUGACGCGAUGUAAUGAAUAGCAAAGGCGCCGGUCUGGUCGUCACGACUCUGAAUUUGAAAAAAAAAAAAAGAAAGAAAAAAAAAAGAAGAGAAAGAAAAACAUCCUCGUGAAAGAAAGAAGGAAAAGAGUGCAAAAGAAAAGAAAGAAGAAAAACAUACCGACAAUGCUUCCUUCUCUUAAGUUAUCGGGCAUCAAAACUUUCGGGUGGACACAGAGGCGCCAUCAGCAUUGAGAAUCAUGAAUAAGCUUUUGCGUAUUGCAAUCCACCGUGGAUUUUAGAAGCACACAUUUCUGUUUAUUUAAUAUUAGGAGAUCCAUAUAUGGUGAUUGGGUAAAAAGAAAAUAUACAUGUAUAUUUAUAUUUAUAUUUUUAUAUAUAAACUUGAGUCUCGGUAACAUACUGCCCUGUGGAUUCCAAGGUGGUUGGAGAGGAAUCCGUGCGUGAUCAGACGUGGCGCCAUAACCGACGGGGAGUCGACAGCCGUCGCCACGCUAUAAAUUUUGAGUCAGCAUGAACGUUUUCGAAGCGGUUCUAUACAAACCAGUGAGUGGCCAUUUUUCAGCAGCUUAUUGUACCAGCCGAACCAACGGCGUUCAUGUUUUUAACUCCAAAACGCGAGUUUCUUUCACAAUGCACUAAGGGCCACUAAGGGCAUAAAAAUCGUUUCUCUUCAUAAACUGAAUUUUCAACGCAUGUAUGAAGGAUCCCACUUGACCUCGUCAAUUGCUCCUGAUAUCCCACUUCAAGCUAUUUGGUUGAAAAUUUAAGAAAAUAAACAAACAACAUUCUUGGUA